AAUUUUGGGCAAUGGGCGAAAGCCUGACCCAGCAACGCCGCGUGAGGGAUGAAGUAUUUCGGUAUGUAAACCUCGAAAGAAUGGGAAGAAUACAUGACGGUACCAUUUAUAAGCUACGGCUAACUACGUGCCAGCAGCCGCGGUAAUACGUAGGGAGCAAGCGUUGUUCGGAUUUACUGGGCGUAAAGGGCGCGUAGGCGGCGCGGUAAGUCACUUGUGAAAUCUCUGACCUUAACUCAGAA
RNAcentral lists this ribosomal RNA (242 nucleotides) under uncultured bacterium. Its description in RNAcentral is "partial 16S ribosomal RNA". It matches the Rfam family "Bacterial small subunit ribosomal RNA", at positions 360 to 619 of the family's 1533-position model. The record is from RNAcentral.